This 5038-nucleotide long non-coding RNA is filed under the name Monomorium pharaonis (pharaoh ant). RNAcentral's name for it is "uncharacterized LOC105838195, transcript variant X2". The record is from RNAcentral. Lineage: Eukaryota; Metazoa; Arthropoda; Insecta; Hymenoptera; Formicidae.
UUUUGUUUGAAAAAUGGUAUUAUUUCAAUACAAAAUAUUUCUUAGUGGUGAUAAAUUUAAUAUUUUGUAAUUAAUAUCCAUAAAUCUGCGCUGAUAAACUUAAUAUUUUGUAAUUAAUAUCCACAAAUCUGAAUAAAAGAUUAGAUAUUUAAUAGAUUUUAUUAAAUAUUCAUAAAGUAUGUGUGCGACAUGGACGUAAGUAUCUCAUAUGUAAAAUUAAAAAAAAUCGAUAUUAUUGGAUUUGCAGAUAAAAUGAGGAUUAUCUGUGUGAAAUUCAUGAUUAUCCUCUUAUAUCACUUCUUUUAUAUGAUUUAAUAUAUCGAUUGCUAUCUGAAAUUAACCGUAUCUUCUCCCAAGGUCUCAUGCACAAUUAAAAUCGUACGAUUCAAAGUUUUCGCUCUGCUUAAUUCCAAAUUUGACGAGAUUUAAGUCGAUUACGUUGGGAUAUUCUCUUUUUAGGUCACGCGAUCAUCUUCUUUCACUGCCCCUUCGAUUUAACUUUCUACGAGAUUGCUACUUUUCGCGGCGAGACGAUCAAAACCCGUGGGAAAAAUCGGAAUUACCCCUGUCUUUCCGCCCUUUUUAUAGCUCAUAAAACGUCUAUCUUCGUCCUAUUCUUCUCUUCUCUUCCUAUCUACUCCCUCUUCCCUUUUUUCUCAUUUCUGCUGCAUAUCGUGCGAUAUAGAUGUGUAAAAGAAGGGUUACAAUUUAUAGUAAGAACAUAUUGAUUGCUUUUCUGUAUUCUUUUCAAUUUAUAAUAAAAAUCAUCACAUAUCAAUACUUUAUUAAUUGCACAUAUUUCAAUAACUUGGAAAUACGCUGCUCGUGUUUUAUCCUUCUAUACAUACAUACGUACAUACAAUCUGUUCCAGAAUAACUAAAAGUAUUUGAUAAAUCUCUUUAUUUUUCUCUUUCAUAUAUAUAAAUGAGGUAAUAUCGAAAAAAAAUAUCUUUAUUAUUAUAAUUUGUCCUUAUAAAUAAAAAUUAGAAUAAAAAAAUAUAUAUAUACAUAUAUGAGAAGUAAUUGAUAUUCCGCAGAUGCAAAUAUCAUAUUAUUUUUUAAAGUUUCAAUUUACUUCAUUAAAGGGAAAGUAAUUAAUUUUACAGAAAUAAUGCAUGUAAAAUUUUCAAGAAAAUGUAGAUAAAAAUAUUUAAAUUACACGUUUUGCAUUUUAAAUAUAUUUUAAAUAUAUUAAUUAGUGUCGUAUUUGAAAAACCAAUAUCUAACAAAUACAUGAAAUUUGUAUAAAUAGAAUAAAAAAUUAUAUUAUAAAUAUUCUAGAGUAAUAAAUCGUAGUAGUCGAAACACAUACAGAGAUUAUCUUUUUUCUAUAAUUAAAAUAUCGGAUGUAAAUUUUAAACUUGUAUUCAAACUUAUAUACUCCUUUUCUUCCACCUUUAUGUAAUUAUUCCAGAAUUUCUGCGAAUUUUUUAAACAAAUAAUAGAUGAGAAAUCCUUAAUUGACCAACGACCAUUAUAUCAGUCUCUUCAGAAAAUCAGGAUUGCUCGUCAAGGCGACUUGAACCAAAUUUGAUGAAAGAGCUGAGAUCGAUGAAACAGGAGGAUGUGCAAGUACUUGUUAAGAAGUUGGAAAUACGAUACUCUCGUGCGUACACGAGGUGUCGCGUUUACGCGACAUGUCUCACAUAUAGGUUUACAAGAUGUAUCCUGAGGCCGAGUGCGGAAUAGGUCGCUCUGCUCUCGAGUGGGGUCGCGUUCGCUACUCUCAAGCGAAUUUCUCCACCGGUCGAUGGCUUACGCUUGCGCGCUGUUGCCUCCUCAGGGGCAGCUUUACUCCCGAGUUGUGUACCAAAUUUACACCGUGAGAACAACCCUGACACUCACCCAUUAACCGCGAGUGAAGAGGAUUAACGUUCGAUAACCCGAAGAUAAUACCGAUCAUCCGCGGUACUAUCUCUCUUUUGUCUGCUCUGAACUUUCUGAAACAUCGAAGUCGAAGCUUAUAAACUUAAUUCCUGUUUUCUUCUUCGUUGAAGGAAUUAAGCUAAUUCUUUCUAAAAGAAUUAAGUUAAUAAACUUCGCGAACGGAUAUGGUUAAGAUUGUUGAAAUUAUUGCGGAUUUUUCUCUGUUUUAAUAAUGAAAAAGACAAUGUUUAUUUUAUUAUUCUUUAACUAUAAAUUUUGUAUUACAUGUUUCUAUUACUUUUUUGUUUUAAAUUAAAUAUUAUAACAAAUAAUUUAUCGCUAGUGCAAAUUGUAAUCGUAAUCAUUAUUUUCUUUAUAUGUAUAACAGUUUAUUUGUUUUCUGAUAUUAUUACAAAAGUAUCAAAAGGAAUUUUACAAGCAGAUAUAAAUGAUAUUUAAUUCUCGUAUUCCUGAAAAUGCAUUUUACUAUUAAACUAAUUAAUUAUAUUGUUUACAUGUGUUUAAGACUUUUAUUCGAUUCAUUCUGAGAUAUGAUUUUAUGCGUGACUGUAAUAAAUAAAAUUACAUAAAAAUAUUUAAGAACAUUUAGAAAUUAUUUGUAAGACGUUCCACAUAAAAAAUAAAUAAAAAAAGUAAAAAUUAAAAAAAAAUUAAAUAAAAAAUAAUCAACGUUGCAGUUUCUAUCGCCAGAUCUAGGAGCAAGCUUCGACUAAACUCUCUUGGAUUGUGAUCGUCCUUAAAUACUCCUUAUCCCGGUGGUGGUAGGAAAAAGAAGAAAGGAAAGAAAGGGAAGGAGGUCGUCUAAUGUUUUAAUUAAUUAACUAAAAAACCGGAAGAAUAGUGUGUUAAAUUGGACUUAUCUGAUAACUUUUAUCACAGUUAACAUUAAUGAUGUUUCAAAAUUUCUAGACUUUGAUAAUAUUUCCUAGCAAAGUAAUCUCGCAAAGGAGCUAGCACUGUAGCUUUGUAGUCUACGGAGUGUCCAGUUUUCAUCUAGUGUUCUGCUAUGGCUUGAGAAAAGUAAUCGAAUUUGGUAUACCGCCGGUGUUCUUUGAUUCAUGUACUAAUCUUUUUCCCGGUUUCUCCUAUGUAUGUACAUUUUUUCGUAAUAGCAAGGGAUCUUGCAUACACCUGGUGAUUUUAAGCGUGAUCUCUGAUCCUUCGGAUUAGGAAGUAAUUGGAAAAUCUUUCUUUAUGACUUGAAGAUAACUUUGAUGUUGUGUCUACGCAAAAUUUUACUAAUGCGUUUUACCAUACGUUGAAGAUGUGAAAGGACAGCCAAUCCAUCCACUUCUCUUCUUUUUCCUUUUCUUCCUUUUCAUCCGACGUCUCAGUUUUGUUGAGACUGGAAAUUUUGUUUUUCAAUCUUUAAAUUGUUAGAUUGACAUUUUUGUUGCUUUAUCCAUUUUUGGUCAAGACUUAAUUGAGAUGUUCUAAUUCUCUAUUUAUAAUUAAAAAUUAAUUUAGAGAUUGUGAGAGCUCUAUAUAUCAGUGAACUGAUUAUUGAAUUCUUUUGCGAGCAGAUGUGAAAGUAUUGAUCUGUGUGUGUGUGUGUGUUUUUUUAUAGACCUGAUGACUUAAGUUACCUUUUUAUUUAUCGCUCAUCGCUCGUUUUUGAGCGAUGAAAAGGAUAUGUGACUGGACUAUCGCUAGCAAUUAGCUAUUGAGCAUGAUAAGUAUUUGAAAGUGAUUUCAGGAAAGAUAGCAAUAAACAAAGAAUUCCGUUUAAAAUAAAGUAAAAUAAGCAAAUGUUACAAGCAAUGUUACAAGCAAAAAAUUAUUAUAAUUAAACAAUUGAGUGUGCAAAAAUAAUAAAUAUAAAUAACGUAAAGAAAAAGAGAAGGGCAUUAGCUUUAGUGACAGUUUUUAAAUUUAUUUUACUUUAUCUUAUUUUUACUGCACAUAUAUGUUUAUUAUAUGAAUUUCGAGAAGAGUCGAGAUCAAGUCUAAGAUCGGUUUAAAAAAUUUCUUUUUAGGAGAGACUGAAACUGUCCCCGGAGUUUACUGCAAAAAAUCUUGUCGCUUUAUUUAAAUUGCACUCAGAACUGUGCCUUUAAAUUAUUUAGCUUUGUCCCCUGUGAGAUUUAUUUGCAGGAGUUCACAUGAAAGAUGAGACUGAUAAAAAAUACGUUUCCUAGUACAAGAAAGAAGAACAAUAAGACCAAUUCUUUGGAGUGGCCUUAAAGGAGUUUCAGAUAAGGGUUUCGUUUUGCCGGAAACUUCGUAGAAACUCAUCGCUGCCACUAGAUCAACUACAUUGACCGGCGACAUGACGAAGCACCUCAGGCUGGGACUUACCUACAAUUAAGUUAGGUAGUAUCGUAGUGUUCACUAUGUUACCUAUCACGGCCGAAGAUAACUUGGUUUAUCGAUUAUAAAUUAAGGAGUCGGCGUUAUAACAGAAUUCUGAGGGAAAAGUAAAGGUAAUUGCAUUAUUCGAUUAUCUUUCACAAAACAGAACUCAAAUAUUCAGCAAAAUGCAAUUAACGUUUUGUGACGAUUAAAUUAAAGCGGAAUCCAAGCAAACAUAAAAUAAACACCGACGCAACAAAGUUUCUGUAGUGAGUCAAACAUGUUUAAGAAAAAAAGCUCAAUGAGAAUGAGUAACGAUUCCAGUAAUAUUCGAGCACUCUUUCCACAAUUCUUCGUAAUCGUGUUUAUUUUCCGAUGAUUUUACUGACGAGUGACUCUUCACACAGUAACAGAGUACUGACAGAUAAAUGAAGAGCACCGAUAUACAGGCUAUACAUUUGGCCGUCGCUGAAGAGAGUACUCAUCGAAAGAACCCAGAUACGAGAUUGUAAUCUUUGUGUCGUGAGGGUCCCUUUACGAUACUCAUCCCCGAAACUAAAAUCCAGACGAUCUUUUCGUUGCUGAAGACUUUUCACCUCGACGUUGAGCUUACCAAGGAUUGUCAAGAUGAUAUGUGUGUUUCGAGGAAUGCUACACAAUCUCCAAUAAUAUAUCUCCUUAUUACGAAGAUUAUUAAAGUUUUUAAAUCUUUUAUUUAAAGAAAAUUAUCUUAGUAAAGAGAGUAUUAAAACACUUUGUAAAAUGUAAGCGAUAUAAUUGCUUAUAAUUUAUCCUAAAUUGUUUCUAUAUCGAGAAGAUUGUACACAAGGAAUUUCAAUAAAAAGAUAUAUACAAGAA